UUAAGUUCAGCGGGUAUCCCUACCUGAUCCGAGGUCAAACGUGGUAGAAUGGGGUGUUCCGGCGGACCUCCGGCCUGGCCUCCAAAGCGUGGAUGUUUUACUACGCUUGAAGCCAGGCGGGGUCGCCACUGCUUUUCGGGAGCGUCCAGGGGACGGGGCCCAACACCAAGCCAGGCUUGAGGGUUGUAAUGACGCUCGAA
This 200-nucleotide unclassified non-coding RNA is filed under the name Dictyocatenulata sp. RNAcentral describes it as "partial internal transcribed spacer 2". Lineage: Eukaryota; Fungi; Ascomycota. The record is from RNAcentral.